UACAGAGGGCUCAAGCGUUGUUCGGAUUUAUUGGGCGUAAAGGGUGCGUAGGCGGUGGGGCAAGUCGGAUGUGAAAUCUCAGGGCUCAACCCUGAAACUGCAUUCGAUACUGCCUUGCUCGAGGACUGGAGAGGAGAUUGGAAUUCACGGUGUAGCAGUGAAAUGCGUAGAUAUCUGGAGGAACAUCAGUGGCGAAGGCGACACCCUGGACUGAUACUGACGCUGAGGUGCGAAAGCGUGGGGAGCAAACAGG
RNAcentral lists this ribosomal RNA (253 nucleotides) under uncultured bacterium. Its description in RNAcentral is "partial 16S ribosomal RNA". It matches the Rfam family "Bacterial small subunit ribosomal RNA", at positions 524 to 776 of the family's 1533-position model. The record is from RNAcentral.